Molecule: long non-coding RNA, 272 nt
Filed under: Homo sapiens (human)
Lineage: Eukaryota; Metazoa; Chordata; Mammalia; Primates; Hominidae
Description: non-protein coding lnc-FUT2-1:1
Source: RNAcentral
GCUGGGCGUGGUGGCAGGUGCCUGUAAUCCCAGCUACUCAGGAGGCUGAGGCAGGAGAAUCGCUUGAACCCAGGAGGCAGAGGUUGCUGUGAGCUGAGAUCGCGCCACUGCACUCCAGCCUGGUGACAGAGUGAGACUCCGUCUCAAAGAAAAAAAAAAAAAAACUCAGGAGGAGGGCUGAGUGCGAUGGCUCUUUCGCCCAGGCUGGAGUGCAGUGGCGCCAUCUCAGCUCACUGCAACCUCCGCCUCCUGGGUUCAAGCAGUCCUCCCAC